RNAcentral lists this unclassified non-coding RNA (861 nucleotides) under Hevea brasiliensis (rubber tree). The record is from RNAcentral. Lineage: Eukaryota; Viridiplantae; Streptophyta; Magnoliopsida; Malpighiales; Euphorbiaceae.
AAUAUUGAUGGGAAGCUGAUCUGGGUAAAAGAUGAGAUGAGCUCUUGUUUAUUCUUGGUCAAGACUAAAUCGAACCUUAGUUUUUGUUAUCUACCGACUAACCAAGACACUCACUGAGCUGAAACAUUCUUUAAAAUCCAUUAUUGAUUCUCAAAUCCGAUGAUGACCUGGUUUCUGAUUGUUAUGGAAGGAAAUUACAACGAUUAUGUUAGUGGAAAUGUGUCUCAGAAAAAUUGGAGAAGUUCAGGGAACGUAGGGUCUUGAAAAUGUACUUUAAGCCUAUAACUCCUUGACAUCCAAAUAUCAGGACAGAAAAUGCAGAAAAGAUCCUAGUUACAUCUGAUAUAAGUGUCAAUGAAACAAGAAGGAGGCUCAAAUAUGGCUACUAUGAACAUUCUUUGUUUCCUCUGUAUAAUCUCCACUGAAAUCUUUCAUUUCUUAUUGCACAGAGGGAAAACUUUCACACAAUCAUGAGCAAAAGAAAAUCAGUGUUUUUUUUUUUUAACAGUGAAAUUUCAUACUUCUUUUGAUAAAUAUUUCCUGUAAAAACAGUUAUAUCUUAUGUUACAAAAACGUUGACCACUAACUUGUGGUGAGUGUAAUACCAUUAGAGCAUAGCUCCAAUGGUUUUGAUGCAUUAACUGGGUAAUUUUUACCUAUCAUCCUCAAACUUUAGGGGGUGUUUCAUAUCAGUCUCUCAACUUCAAUUUGUUACCAAAAAAUCCUUCAACUUACAAAAAUCCUUGUUGCUAGAAUCUGGCAUGAGCUUCAGUCAAGAUCCAAUGUGGCACUUAAUAUUAUAUUUAUAUCCUUGCCAUGCGGAUCUGAAAACUGUCUUUCCUCCUUUUUGGAUUAUUCUUG